UCAGAAAUAAAUUAGACAGGUUAAACAGGUUAAAUGGGUUAUCUGGCUCAACUCAAUCUGGAUAUUAAACGGAUUAAAUGGAUCAGAUAUCUAAAACCCAAAUCUGACCCAAUUAUUAAACAGGUUAAACAGGUCGAUCCGUUUAUGACCCAAAUCCGUUUAGCCUCAAUCCAAACCUAUUUAUGGUGGGUCGAACAUGGAUCGGGUUG
Molecule: long non-coding RNA, 209 nt
Filed under: Elaeis guineensis (African oil palm)
Lineage: Eukaryota; Viridiplantae; Streptophyta; Magnoliopsida; Arecales; Arecaceae
Description: long non-coding RNA (EGUI_LNC044182)
Source: RNAcentral